RNAcentral lists this ribosomal RNA (450 nucleotides) under uncultured bacterium. Its description in RNAcentral is "bacterial SSU rRNA". It matches the Rfam family "Bacterial small subunit ribosomal RNA", at positions 354 to 796 of the family's 1533-position model. The record is from RNAcentral.
GUGGGGAAUCUUGCGCAAUGCGCGAAAGCGUGACGCAGCAACGCCGCGUGUGGGAAGACGGCCUUCGGGUUGUAAACCACUUUCAGGAGGGACGAAGGGUCGGCCGCGAAUAGCGAGCCGGCUUGACGGUACCUUCAGAAGAAGCUCCGGCUAACUACGUGCCAGCAGCCGCGGUAAUACGUAGGGAGCAAGCGUUGUCCGGAAUCAUUGGGCGUAAAGCGCGCGUAGGCGGCUCGAUCAGUCUGUUGUGAAAGUCAAAGGCUCAACCUUUGAAUGCCGAUGGAUACUGUCGAGCUAGAGUCCGGAAGAGGCGGGUGGAAUUCCUGGUGUAGCGGUGGAAUGCGCAGAUAUCAGGAGGAACACCAACGGCGAAGGCAGCCCGCUGGGACGGUACUGACGCUAAGGCGCGAAAGCGUGGGGAGCGAACAGGAUUAGAAACCCCUGUAGUCC